This is a long non-coding RNA of Bos taurus (domestic cattle), 1571 nucleotides long. The record is from Ensembl. Lineage: Eukaryota; Metazoa; Chordata; Mammalia; Artiodactyla; Bovidae.
UGGACCUCUGGGAAUAGAGUUAGUUGUACUUCUUCCUUUUCAGUCUGGGUGCCUUUUAUUUCUUCUCACCCAGGCCAGAACCUCCAACACAACAUUAAAUAGAAUUAGCUGAGCAGGGACUUCCCUGGUGGUCUGGUGGUCCAGGGCUUAAGACUCCACUCUGCCAACGUAAGGAGCUUGGGUUCAAUCCCUAGUCAGGAACUAUGAUCCUAAAUGCCACAUGGUGUAGCCCCAAAAAUAAAAUUUUUUAAAAGUAGCAGAGCAGAUAUCUUUGACGUGUUCUGCUCUUAGGAGAGAAGCAUCCAGUCGUGGACCACAGGGUAUACACGGUGAGAUGAUGACCACAGUAAGGUUGCCUAACACACUCAUCGGUCACCUAGUUACGUGUGUGUGUGUGGUGAGAACACAUACGAUAUGCUCUCCUAGCAACUUGCAGAUAUGUGCCCAGAAGUGAGAUUGCUGGAUCAUGUCGCUAAGUCGUGUCCGACUCUUUGCAUCCCCAUGGACUGCAGCACAUCAGGCCCCCCUGUCCUUCACUGUCUCCUGGAGUUUGCUCACAUUCAUGUCCAAAGAGUCCGUGAUGCCAUCUAACCAUCUCAUCCUUUCUGAUGCUGAAGCUGAAGCUCCAAUACUCUGGCCACCUGAUACAAAGAGCUGACUCAUUAGAAAAGACCCUGAUGCUGGGAAAGAUCGAUGACAACAGGAGGAGGCGGCGGCAGAGGAUAAGUCCCUUGUUUCCCAUCUUAAAAGGAGGGACUGCCGUGGCAGCCCAGUGGUUGCAACUCUGCUCUUCCCCUGUUGCGGGGGUCUGUGCAGGUUCCGUCCCUGAUUGGGAAACAGAUCCCACAUGCUGAGCCACCAAAACAAAAUAAGGAAUUUCUUUAAAAAAAACAACAGGAAAGCUCUCAGCCUUUCACCACGAUGACGUUACCUGUGAUUGUCAUAUAUGCCCUGUAUUAUGUUAACUUAAAUUCUUUCUAUACCAAAUGUGUGGAGACUUUGACAUAAAAUGACCCACCAGCUCAGAGCUUGAGGACACAGGGCGGCACCUGGUCCUUCAGAGUCCAGCCCGGAAAGAAAGGUGGAAACUCCCUCCAGCACCGGGUGCCUUGGGCUAGCAGCCCUGACCUACCUCCUCCCAAGCUCUGUUCCUGAGGCUUCUUCCCCCACCACCCCAGCUGACCCAAAGGCCCUCCCACACCCUCAGAAACAGAAAUGACCGUCCUUGGUGGUUACGCCGGCUUGCUUCUGUUUCUUUGCCUACUUCUCCCCCAAGGCUCUCACAAGUCCCAAGCUCCCCGCAUUUUUCCUUAUUCACACUGAUUCUCUUGGUGCGCCCCCGCAAGUCGCCCCCAUGCACACUCCACGUGAAAUGUCAGCUUUACUCGGGGAAACACGGAGCGCAGAGUAGGAAACCAAGCGGCCACCUGAUCAUCUGGAAUGAGGACCUGAGACACAACGGCUGGGCGGUGGCAGUGACCGCUUUAUGCUGAGCCCUGAAAACCCAGUCUGAAGAAAAUGCAGAGUUAACCUUUCUAUUGACUUGGCAGCUGCCUCUUCUUUACUGAAAU